AUUGAACGCUGGCGGCAGGCCUAACACAUGCAAGUCGAACGAGUGGCGGACGGGUGAGUAAUGUCUGGGAAACUGCCUGAUGGAGGGGGAUAACUACUGGAAACGGUAGCUAAUACCGCAUACCAUCGGAUGUGCCCAGAUGGGAUUAGCUAGUAGGUGGGGUAAAGGCUCACCUAGGCGACGAUCCCUAGCUGGUCUGAGAGGAUGACCAGCCGAACUGGAAGUGAGAAACGGUCCAGACUCCUACGGGAGGCAGAAGUGGGGAAUAUUGAACAAUGGGCGCAAGCCGGAUGCAGCCAGGCCGCGGGUAUGAAGAAGGCCUUCGGGUUGUAAAGUACUUGCAGCGGGGAGGCGUUACCCGCAGAAGAAGCACCGGCGAACUCCGUGCCAGCAGACGCGGUAAUUC
Molecule: ribosomal RNA, 406 nt
Filed under: uncultured bacterium
Lineage: Bacteria
Description: partial 16S ribosomal RNA
Rfam family: Bacterial small subunit ribosomal RNA
Source: RNAcentral